GCGGUCGUGGCGGAAUGGCAGACGCGCUAGCUUGAGGGGCUAGUGGGCUUUAGCCCGUGGAAGUUCGAGUCUUCUCGGCCGCAUCA
RNAcentral lists this transfer RNA (86 nucleotides) under Dolosicoccus paucivorans. RNAcentral's name for it is "tRNA_Leu_GAG". It matches the Rfam family "tRNA". From Rfam's summary of the family: Transfer RNA (tRNA) molecules are approximately 80 nucleotides in length. The record is from RNAcentral. Lineage: Bacteria; Bacillati; Bacillota; Bacilli; Lactobacillales; Aerococcaceae.